RNAcentral lists this ribosomal RNA (253 nucleotides) under uncultured bacterium. RNAcentral describes it as "partial 16S ribosomal RNA". It matches the Rfam family "Bacterial small subunit ribosomal RNA", at positions 524 to 776 of the family's 1533-position model. The record is from RNAcentral.
UACGGGGGGGGCAAGCGUUGUUCGGAAUUACUGGGCGUAAAGGGCUCGUAGGCGGCUCCUUAAGUCAGACGUGAAAUCCCUCGGCUUAACCGGGGAACUGCGUCUGAGACUGAAGAGCUUGAAUCCGGGAGAGGGAUGCGGAAUUCCAGGUGUAGCGGUGAAAUGCGUAGAUAUCUGGAGGAACACCGGUGGCGAAGGCGGCAUCCUGGACCAACACUGACGCUGAGGAGCGAAAGCCAGGGGAGCAAACGGG